Molecule: transfer RNA, 75 nt
Filed under: Cronobacter phage LPCS28
Lineage: Duplodnaviria; Heunggongvirae; Uroviricota; Caudoviricetes; Pantevenvirales; Straboviridae
Description: tRNA-Asn
Rfam family: tRNA
About the family: Transfer RNA (tRNA) molecules are approximately 80 nucleotides in length. Their secondary structure includes four short double-helical elements and three loops (D, anti-codon, and T loops).
Source: RNAcentral
GGACCAUUAGCUCCAACGGUUAGAGCGGGGACCUGUUAAGUCCACGGCUGGGAGUUCAAAUCUCUCAUGGUCCGC